This 1136-nucleotide long non-coding RNA is filed under the name Lactuca sativa (garden lettuce). Its description in RNAcentral is "long non-coding RNA (LSAT_LNC006010)". The record is from RNAcentral. Lineage: Eukaryota; Viridiplantae; Streptophyta; Magnoliopsida; Asterales; Asteraceae.
UUAUUUCUUUGUUCAAUUUUUUGAACCUCAAAACUGCAUUAAAUCUCAUGUGUUAGAAGAAGGUUUUUAUUUUUCUUUUGGGGUUGGGAAACCAGCAAAGCGACUAGCUAAUUAUUGGAUUUUAUGAUGUAAUAAGUGUAGAUGGGUGUUUGGGUGAUGUCGAUGCUUUCUUUUUGUCGCAGGUGCUUGGGGGUGGGAAGAAAAAUAAAAGUAGAUGAUUAUGUGCGUUCGGUUGGGAGUGGUAUUAACCAGGGGCAUUUUUGGUACUUUUCUUUUUCUAAACAUGUCUAGUCCUGGUUUGAUCUUUCUGAUGGCUUUAUUGAUUGGUUGGAUCAGAAUUAUAUGGCGUAAGAGGGAAGAAUUAAUUGUUUAAGGCGAGAUCGAUAUGGGGAUUUUUUGACUGAAGGGUAUUUUGGGAAUAAGGUUAAGAAUUCUAUGGCGGUGGUUGUGGGUUGGUUCUUGUUGACUCAGAUUAGCAGACAUAGAUUCAAGAAGAUGGGUGGGUUCACAAGGAUUAAAGAUUUUUUUAACUGUACAGGGAGGAUAAAGAGCGAGGGCAUUUUUGGAAUAUAUAGGUUUUUUUGAUGAAUUUUGCGCCUGGUUUGAUAUGCGAGGUGAUAGGAUUGAAGAUUUUCUUAUGUGGCAGGCCUUAAAUGAAGUUCUUUUUUAUUAUUUUGUCAAUUCUUGGAAGCAGGGGCUUUGUGGUUAUUCUAUUAUGAAUUUAUUCAUGUGUAUUCAUUUAUAAAUAACGUUCUAGUUAUGUGUGAAUGGUUGUAUUCAUUUAUGAAUAGCACGUGUCUUCAUUUACGAUAGAAUGUGUAUUAAUUUAUAAAUAACAGUGUAUUCAUUUGUGAAUUGCAAUGUAUUCGUAUGUGAAUGAUUGUAUUUAUUUAUGAAUAGUAGUGUAUUAAUAUGAAUGGGUGUAUUUAUUUAUGAUUAGAGGUAUUCAUUUUAGGAAAAAAUGAUAAUUUUUACAUUAUUUUUUAUUUUCAAUUUAUGAAAAUACAUUGAAUUAUUUGUAAUUUGAUGUGUUUUCAUUUAUGAUUGGAAGUGCAUUGAGUUGGGAUUGAACUUCUAUUCAUUUUUUUUUUGAAAAACAAAAAACGUGAAAUAGUAGAAAAUAAUAUUUAUUUAAG